CUGACAUGUGUUUGUGAGUCAACGGACGAGUAAACCCGUAAGGCGUAAGGAAGCUGAUUGGUGGGAUCCCCCCCAGGGGUACACCGCUGACCGACCUUGAUCUUCUGUUAAGGGUUCGAGUGUGAGCAUACCUGUCGGGACCCGAAAGAUGGUGAACUAUUCCUGAGCGGGGCGAAGCCAGAGGAAACUCUGGUGGAGGCCCGCAGCGAUAGUGACGUACAAAUCAUUCGUCUGACUUGGGUAUAAGGGAGAAAGACUAAUCGAACCGUCUAGUAGCUGG
RNAcentral lists this non-coding RNA (280 nucleotides) under Capsicum annuum. Its description in RNAcentral is "Eukaryotic large subunit ribosomal RNA". It matches the Rfam family "Eukaryotic large subunit ribosomal RNA", at positions 675 to 954 of the family's 3401-position model. Lineage: Eukaryota; Viridiplantae; Streptophyta; Magnoliopsida; Solanales; Solanaceae. The record is from Rfam by way of RNAcentral.